RNAcentral lists this transfer RNA (61 nucleotides) under Ictidomys tridecemlineatus (thirteen-lined ground squirrel). RNAcentral describes it as "Spermophilus tridecemlineatus (thirteen-lined ground squirrel) tRNA". It matches the Rfam family "tRNA", at positions 6 to 65 of the family's 71-position model. Rfam says of the family: Transfer RNA (tRNA) molecules are approximately 80 nucleotides in length. Their secondary structure includes four short double-helical elements and three loops (D, anti-codon, and T loops). The record is from Rfam by way of RNAcentral. Lineage: Eukaryota; Metazoa; Chordata; Mammalia; Rodentia; Sciuridae.
UGUAGCUCAAUGGUAGAGUGCCUGCUUAGCAUGCAUGAGGUUCUGGGUUCCAUUCCCAACA